UGCAAAGAGAUUGUUGAGUGUUCAACUUAACACCGUGACAAAGUUCAGCAUAUGCAACAGUUUUACAUUGCUUCCGAGAUUACAGAAUUUCAGAUUUAGCACUUUUAAGUAUGCCUCAAUCUUGGAGGCCAUAUUGCAGUAUUACUGUUAUGUUAAGAAGUGUGUGAAAUAAAUGUGGUGUUUACUGUGCAGGGGCAACAACAAUGUGUAGGUGCACUUGUGUUGUGCACGUCGGUGUUCAAGGUCAGCUGGCUCUCAAUAUGUGCUCAGUCCAGAGAACUGGAGACCAUGUUUGUCAUCCUCUGAAGUGCCUGAAGGACCUGCACUCAUUCCAGACAAUUGGUCCAGGAAAUAGGUUACGACUUUGUGACCAGGAAGAAUAUUCAUGACCUGCAUAUUUGCUGGACAACUGCUCCAGGGAACUGAUCGAGGUGGACUGCUGUUUGGGGCGACCACAACAAAGGGCCUUGUUUCCGGUGUCAUGAGUAGCAGCUGGAGCUGCUGCUGUUGUUAUGGCUGCUGGCUGUGCUGUGCCAAGUGCAAGCCCAUGGGCUGUGACCCGUCCAACUCUUCAUGGCCAGAUUAGGUUUGGCAUGCCAAUGGACUUCAUAUAUGGUAGAUAACACGAUUCGGAGGCCUGACAGAAGCCUUCAGCAAGGGCUGUACCGCCAAUCUGCUAUACCUGGUCUAUCUGGCAGUGGUGUUGGCCAACCUGGAGAGUUCAUGGGGCACAGAGGAAAAUCUGCAUAGACGUCGCAGUGGCUCAGUGAUUAUGGUGUUCUGCAUCAGAACAAGAGGUCGCGGGUUUGACUCCCGACCGCGUUCCCAUAGGGCGAAACGCAGAAAUGUGGAUGCCAAGCACAGUGGUGAAACAGCUGUGCCCAAUUGGGCCAAAUUGCACCAAGAACGGUCCUUUGGGCCAUCCUGCUCCAAAACGACACUUUCUCGGAAGAUUGCUAAAAAAAAAAAUGCCAUAAGAAGCAUAGGACCGAAAGCCUUCGUCUGUUGAUGCUGCCUCAGUUGUGAAAAACCAAGCCUAAAGGGCGCCAUCAUCAUUGCCAUCAUUACUGUAGAAGUCAAUGAAGUGACCAAAGCCAUGGAUAUAGCCGAUACCGAAGCAAGAUGG
RNA transcript from Dermacentor silvarum, 1126 nucleotides. RefSeq lists it as uncharacterized. The record is from RefSeq and is a predicted model, not a curated record. The transcript is spliced from 4 exons. NCBI's taxonomy places the organism in Eukaryota, Metazoa, Arthropoda, Arachnida, Ixodida, Ixodidae.